This 1126-nucleotide ribosomal RNA is filed under the name Klebsiella pneumoniae. RNAcentral's name for it is "bacterial SSU rRNA". It matches the Rfam family "Bacterial small subunit ribosomal RNA", at positions 8 to 1125 of the family's 1533-position model. Lineage: Bacteria; Pseudomonadati; Pseudomonadota; Gammaproteobacteria; Enterobacterales; Enterobacteriaceae. The record is from RNAcentral.
AGAGUUUGAUCAUGGCUCAGAUUGAACGCUGGCGGCAGGCCUAACACAUGCAAGUCGAGCGGUAGCACAGAGAGCUUGCUCUCGGGUGACGAGCGGCGGACGGGUGAGUAAUGUCUGGGAAACUGCCUGAUGGAGGGGGAUAACUACUGGAAACGGUAGCUAAUACCGCAUAAUGUCGCAAGACCAAAGUGGGGGACCUUCGGGCCUCAUGCCAUCAGAUGUGCCCAGAUGGGAUUAGCUAGUAGGUGGGGUAACGGCUCACCUAGGCGACGAUCCCUAGCUGGUCUGAGAGGAUGACCAGCCACACUGGAACUGAGACACGGUCCAGACUCCUACGGGAGGCAGCAGUGGGGAAUAUUGCACAAUGGGCGCAAGCCUGAUGCAGCCAUGCCGCGUGUGUGAAGAAGGCCUUCGGGUUGUAAAGCACUUUCAGCGGGGAGGAAGGCGGUGAGGUUAAUAACCUUGUCGAUUGACGUUACCCGCAGAAGAAGCACCGGCUAACUCCGUGCCAGCAGCCGCGGUAAUACGGAGGGUGCAAGCGUUAAUCGGAAUUACUGGGCGUAAAGCGCACGCAGGCGGUCUGUCAAGUCGGAUGUGAAAUCCCCGGGCUCAACCUGGGAACUGCAUUCGAAACUGGCAGGCUAGAGUCUUGUAGAGGGGGGUAGAAUUCCAGGUGUAGCGGUGAAAUGCGUAGAGAUCUGGAGGAAUACCGGUGGCGAAGGCGGCCCCCUGGACAAAGACUGACGCUCAGGUGCGAAAGCGUGGGGAGCAAACAGGAUUAGAUACCCUGGUAGUCCACGCCGUAAACGAUGUCGAUUUGGAGGUUGUGCCCUUGAGGCGUGGCUUCCGGAGCUAACGCGUUAAAUCGACCGCCUGGGGAGUACGGCCGCAAGGUUAAAACUCAAAUGAAUUGACGGGGGCCCGCACAAGCGGUGGAGCAUGUGGUUUAAUUCGAUGCAACGCGAAGAACCUUACCUGGUCUUGACAUCCACAGAACUUUCCAGAGAUGGAUUGGUGCCUUCGGGAACUGUGAGACAGGUGCUGCAUGGCUGUCGUCAGCUCGUGUUGUGAAAUGUUGGGUUAAGUCCCGCAACGAGCGCAACCCUUAUCCUUUGUUGCCAGCGGU